CCUACGGGGGGCAGCAGUGAGGAAUAUUGGUCAAUGGGCGGGAGCCUGAACCAGCCAAGUCGCGUGAGGGAAGACGGUCCUAUGGAUUGUAAACCUCUUUAGGCGGGGAGCAAUGCCGGGCACGCGUGCCCGGAGGGAGAGUACCCGCAGAAUAAGCAUCGGCAAACUCCGUGCCAGCAGCCGUGGUAAUUCGGAGGAGGCGAGCGUUAUUCGGAUUUAGUGGGUUUAAAGGGUGCGUAGGCUGAUUUUUAAGUCAGCGGUAAAAUGUCCGGACUCAAACCGGGCCGGCCGUUGAAACUGGGGUUCUUGAGUGGGCGAGAAGUAUGCGGAAUGCGUGGUGUAGCGGUGAAAUGCAUAGAUAUCACGCAGAACUCCGAUUGCGAAGGCAGCAUACCGGCGCCCGACUGACGCUGAGGCACGAAAGCGUGGGGAUCGAACAGGAUUAGAUACCCUAGUAGUC
RNAcentral lists this ribosomal RNA (460 nucleotides) under uncultured bacterium. RNAcentral describes it as "partial 16S ribosomal RNA". It matches the Rfam family "Bacterial small subunit ribosomal RNA", at positions 338 to 795 of the family's 1533-position model. The record is from RNAcentral.